UGCAAGUCGAACGAGAUCUUCGGGUCUAGUGGCGCACGGGUGCGUAACGCGUGGGAAUCUGCCCUUUGGUUCGGAAUAACAGUUGGAAACGACAGCUAAUACCGGAUGAUGACGAAAGUCCAAAGACUUAUCGCCAGAGGAUGAGCCCGCGUAGGAUUAGCUAGUUGGUGUGGUAAAGGCGCACCAAGGCGACGAUCCUUAGCUGGUCUGAGAGGAUGAUCAGCCACACUGGGACUGAGACACGGCCCAGACUCCUACGGGAGGCAGCAGUGGGGAAUAUUGGACAAUGGGCGAAAGCCUGAUCCAGCAAUGCCGCGUGAGUGAUGAAGGCCUUAGGGUUGUAAAGCUCUUUUACCCGGGAUGAUAAUGACAGUACCGGGAGAAUAAGCUCCGGCUAACUCCGUGCCAGCAGCCGCGGUAAUACGGAGGGAGCUAGCGUUGUUCGGAAUUACUGGGCGUAAAGCGCACGUAGGCGGCUUUGUAAGUUAGAGGUGAAAGCCUGGAGCUCAACUCCAGAACUGCCUUUAAGACUGCAUCGCUUGAAUCCAGGAGAGGUGAGUGGAAUUCCGAGUGUAGAGGUGAAAUUCGUAGAUAUUCGGAAGAACACCAGUGGCGAAGGCGGCUCACUG
RNAcentral lists this ribosomal RNA (629 nucleotides) under uncultured bacterium. RNAcentral's name for it is "bacterial SSU rRNA". It matches the Rfam family "Bacterial small subunit ribosomal RNA", at positions 56 to 731 of the family's 1533-position model. The record is from RNAcentral.